This 253-nucleotide ribosomal RNA is filed under the name uncultured bacterium. RNAcentral's name for it is "partial 16S ribosomal RNA". It matches the Rfam family "Bacterial small subunit ribosomal RNA", at positions 524 to 776 of the family's 1533-position model. The record is from RNAcentral.
UACGAAGGGGGCUAGCGUUGCUCGGAAUCACUGGGCGUAAAGCGCACGUAGGCGGAUUGUUAAGUCAGGGGUGAAAUCCUGGAGCUCAACUCCAGAACUGCCUUUGAUACUGGCGAUCUCGAGUCCGGGAGAGGUGAGUGGAACUGCGAGUGUAGAGGUGAAAUUCGUAGACAUUCGCAAGAACACCAGUGGCGAAGGCGGCUCACUGGCCCGGUACUGACGCUGAGGUGCGAAAGCGUGGGGAGCAAACAGG